Molecule: ribosomal RNA, 339 nt
Filed under: uncultured Ceratobasidium
Lineage: Eukaryota; Fungi; Basidiomycota; Agaricomycetes; Cantharellales; Ceratobasidiaceae
Description: eukaryotic LSU rRNA
Source: RNAcentral
CGCACCUUGCGCUCCUUGGUAUUCCUUGGAGCAUGCCUGUUUGAGUAUCAUGAAAUUAUCAAAGCAAGUCUUUUGUUAACUCGAUCGACUCUUUUGCUUUGGAUUUGGAGGUCUGCAGAUUUUAACCUUCUGCUCCUCUUAAAUGCAUUAGCUGGAUCUCAGUAUAUGCUCGGUUCCCACUCGGCGUGAUAAGUAUCACUCGCUGAGGACACUUUUAUUUAUUUAUUUAUUUAAAGGUGGCCGGGAAAUACAGAUGAACCGCUUCUAACAGCCUAUUAAAUUAGACAGUUAAUUUUAAGAUCUGAUCUCAAAUCAGGUAGGACUACCCGCUGAACUUAA